ACCAUUGUUCUUAAAUAAAUAGAUGGCAAAGACUCGUGACUUAAUUUUUUCGUCAAAUUGGAUAAAAGUUUUUCUCUCUAUUGCUAGCUCAACCGACUCGGUUGCUAGCUCAACCGAGGUAAUAUGUCAUAAAUAAAAAAUAAAAAAUAAAAUAAAAUACUUUUCCCCUUGGUUGCAGCUCAACUGAGGUAAUAGGUCAUAAGAAAAAAUAAAAAAAUAAAAAAAAUGCUAAAAUGUAGUUGUUGGGAUUCGAAGGUGUGUCCCCUGAAUACUUUCCCCUCAGUUUCC
Molecule: long non-coding RNA, 288 nt
Filed under: Lathyrus oleraceus (garden pea)
Lineage: Eukaryota; Viridiplantae; Streptophyta; Magnoliopsida; Fabales; Fabaceae
Description: Pisum sativum (pea) long non-coding RNA (PSAT_LNC038554)
Source: RNAcentral